This 369-nucleotide ribosomal RNA is filed under the name uncultured bacterium. Its description in RNAcentral is "bacterial SSU rRNA". It matches the Rfam family "Bacterial small subunit ribosomal RNA", at positions 527 to 898 of the family's 1533-position model. The record is from RNAcentral.
GGAGGGUGCAAGCGUUAUCCGGAUUCACUGGGUUUAAAGGGUGCGUAGGUGGGUUGGUAAGUCCGUGGUGAAAUCUCCGAGCUUAACUCGGAAACUGCCGUGGAUACUAUCAAUCUUGAAUAUCGUGGAGGUAAGCGGAAUAUGUCAUGUAGCGGUGAAAUGCUUAGAUAUGACAUAGAACACCGAUAGCGGAGGCAGCUUGCUACACGAUCAUUGACACUGAGGCACGAAAGCGUGGGGAGCAAACAGGAUUAGAUACCCUGGUAGUCCACGCCCUAAACGAUGAUUACUCGACAUACGCGAUACACUGUGUGUGUCUGAGCGAAAGCAUUAAGUAAUCCACCUGGGAAGUACGAUCGCAAGAUUGAA